UGGCGGCCCGACGGCCGCACCGCAACGGCGGGCUCCGGCGCAGCGGCGGCGCGGGCGGACAUUUCACACCGGGACGGGACGGGACGGGACCGGAGAGGAUCAUUGUGCCGAGCGUAGCUCGGCCCUCCCGCUUCCGGGGGCCGCCGGGAGCCAUCGGCAGGGCGGCCGCGUCUCCCGUAAGCGCAGCAGGCGGCGGCGGCAGCGGCAGCAGCGGCAGCAGCGGCGGCGGGCAGGACCCGGUGAGGGCGGGCGGCCUGCGGGGAGAGGGCUGGCCGGUCUGCUGCUCCCGGCACGGGCAGGGCCCGCCUGCCUGGGGCCGGCCAGCGCCGCGCCGCAGCGGAGGGGGCAAACCUCAGCUCCCCCCCCUUCCGCCACCCGUUGCUGCUCCCGGGGCUGCCGAGUCGGGUUGUGGCGGCGGCACUUCUGGCGGCCGCCCCCGCCAGCCUUCAGCCGCGCCUCGGGCUGGGCCCUCCGGCGGGGCCUGCGCUAGGCCGGCCCUGCAGCGUCCCCCUCCCGACCGGGGCCCUUGGAGCGGCUGGCGGGGAUCACGGCCCAGCCCGGCCCCUGCCCUGGCUGGGUCCUGGUGGCUGAGCCAGGUCCAGGCCUCCCCAGCCUCGCACUGGAAGGGGUUUCUCCCACAGGAAAAGGGGCUGCUCGUUCCCCUCGCUCGCUGGGGAGGAGAGUAACACCCACUGGCCCCUCACACGUGAUUCUGCAUUUUUAAUUAGCCAGGUUUCUGAAAGAAGUGCAACGGUGCUACCAGCUCUUCCCUGCUAACUUUAAAAUCCAGCAGCCGUUUCAGCCCGGUUUGACGAAGGGAUCUCAGCCUCAACAAUGUGAAGCUUUACCAGUUUCAUUAGAAAGAGCAUCAGUGAGGUAGCAUGAGGUAACUUACUCGCCGAGCUUUCUAGCGCCAGCCGUCACGCUCUCGUGGCAAACCAGUCACAGCCUGUGUGGGCCCUCCUCCAGUUCUUCCCCAGGGUGAAGCCUGGCUCAAAGUGUGCUGACUUCAGUAAAAGCAUUCUUGCUGUCUUCACCGAGUUUGGAAUCAAAUCUGGGGCUGGGGAGAGAGGCACUGUAUGUACGGGCCUCCCUUCAGCGGGACUAUGGUCUUAGCUGGGGCAUCUCAAUGAGGGUAGGUAUAUCCUUCUCGCUCCGUUGUUCUCCUGGUCGAGGAGCUCUUGGAAGAGUCGCCUGUGUUGAAUUCAUGCCAGCAUGUUAUUAAGAACAGUUCUGAAAGGAUAAAGCAAUGUAAGAUCAAAACUUGCAGAGAGCAGCGGUCUAUGUUUGGGCCUGGCGUUGGGGGAAAUGGCAGUGGGGCUCUUUGCACAGAAGACGCUCUCAAGACAAGAACAAAGAUCUCGUUUCUUCAUCAUUUCUAACUGAGCUUGGAGUGUUGUUGGACACAGACGUUCUUAUGGAGUUUUGCCAAGAGCAGGUGCUUGCUACAACAGAGGAUGGUCUAUUCAAAACAACAAAGUCACUGUUAGGCAACUGGAAAAAAACCCAAACCAAGAACAAAACCCGAGGUAGGUGUAUUGGAUCACAAUAAUAUAAAGAAGCCUAAAGCUGUGUCUCUCACCUAACUCCCCAGUUUCUCAUAAACGUGGCGCGCUCUGCACAGUGACCAAGCAGAUGGACUCUCUCCUGACUGCAGGACUUUGCAGGCUCUUGUCUGCCUGUUUACAAGUUGCAUAGGAGGAGGGUUCUUCUCUCUGGAAUGUUAGUUUUCUGCUGUAAACUCCACGUAGUCUGUAUUUGUGUUAAGGCAGGGGAAGGAUUUUUCUGUUACAAGGUCAGUUACCCCCAGUUCUUUUUUUCCCUUUUUCUGCUUGGAGUCAGUGUCUUCCUUGUCCUCAGAAUUGUUUGAGAUCUCAGUUAUAUGGAAAUCCAUACAUUUUACUUCCGUUCAGUGCUGCCAAGGGGUUUUUUUGCAUUAUGAUCAGGGAUUUAAUGGGUGCCAUUGGCAGCAUUCAAACAGGCUUACAUAUUCUCUUCUCUCUGCACAGACGGCAAGGCAUUAUUGCUGGGGUUCUUUCUCUAUAACGCCAUAGAAGAGCACAGGUUUUCAGUGGUGGAAAUUAGUCAGUACAUUUGUUCUAUCUCUCAGGGUUCAAGGUACCUGAAUAACGGUGAGUGCCAUAUCCAAACAAACAAGUUACAGAGAUUCUAUUGCAGCUUCCAGUUAAUAGCCAGGAAGGAUCCUGAGGUAAUUUGGAAGACAGAACUGCACUCUGGCAAUUUUUUGCAUGAUACGUCUUGUGGUAUCUCCAAGAAUGCGAGUGUUGAAAAAUGCCAUUGGCAUCAGUGAAGUGGAUGCAGUGGAUUUAGUGAAUGCUGACACAGAAGAUGCAAUUGGAACCAGAAAUGAAGAAUUGAAUUGAUUUCUCCUAAUUUAGAUACCUACAGCUGAGCUAGCCUUGAAUGUACCUGUCUCCACUGACUAUAAAGAGACCCUAGGGUGACUAGCUCAUAUGUAAAGGUCUAUACUCUGGAAUGUUUGAUAUUAACUAAGAUGAAUCUUACUCAUAAAAGUCAGUCUCUUAUCUUCUUCUCACUUUUCUGCCAUGCAUCACAGUCUUCUUACAUGAGGUCAGAUUAUGGGCUACAGGAUCAGAACCUGUCUCUGUUUUAUUUGCAAAAGAUACAGGAAAAGAAAGGUUUAGGGAGAAAAGAAACAAUUGGAUAAGGCAAAACAAAUGUCUUUGCUACAAAUCCAAGUAUCACAUGUAAUGGCUACCUGGGAAAUGUGCUGUGGGAGAAAUUAAUGAGUCUGAAAUGAGAAGAACUUGGUAAGUAAGACAAUGUCUUCAAACUCAACUCUGGACACUCCUGUGAAUCCUGCAAGUCUCGGUGCCCUCAAAGGUGCGUUCAGGGCAAUCAGGACCACUUUAUCCUUUGGCUGUUCUGGGCUGCUGGGAAACCCACUGGCAGCUCCUGAGAAAGCAGUCUCUUGAUUUGGUCUGACCUACUCUGGCUCUCAGCCCAGUGUGGAGUCCCAGAGAGAGACAGAAUUGCCACAGCACUUAUGGAAGGGAUAAACAAGUAGAAUGUGGAUGGUAACAUGAGGAAAAGAGGACAGCAUGUGAGCAGGAUGAAAUGGCAUGUGUGUUACAACUGAGCUAGUAGUAGAAAGUAGUAGAAAAGAAAAAGCCUUGUGCUGAGGCUAGAGGUAGGAAAAGAUCUGGAGGAUGUUUGUGAUCCAGAGAAAGAGACUAAUCAAUACAGGGUCUUUUUGCAUGUAGGCAGAGGCCUCUGCAACGCUCUUGGAGAGAAUUUCAAUUGCUUCAGAUGAUGAGAUAGGGAAAAUCGUACUUUCAUUGAGGGAGCAUUUCACUGGAUGCAGGUGUGCCAGAAGGGAAAGCAAGAUUGAGGUGCCAGGCUGCGUCUAAACAUAGUGGUAGAGGAGGUUUUCAAAAGUUUCAGUGAAUCGAAGAAUAUUACAGAUGCAUGCUCAAAUCACACUCCUGAAUUCCGGGCAGUUCUAUGAGGCUGCGUGCUGCACAAAUCAUACAGCUGCGAUGUACAGGAACAGGUCUAAACCAGAUUGCAGGCGUUUUAUUGCUAAAAAAAGGCUGAAUAUUGGCUGUCACUGUUCUCCCGGAAUGCAAACUCUUCAGAUGUGAAACUAAGUGAAAUUUGGCUUGGAGGUUCAUUUUCUUCUUAGAGACCUGAGACUAAGAGGAGGACUAUGAAAAAUCUUUCCACUCAUGCCUGUGAUGAAUUCCUUUGACUUACGUAUUAAUAAAGAGUAAGAGAAUGCUGCCAUGAAUUAGCAAAACUCUUUUUUUUCAUACUAUGUCCUAGCAGAACAGAGGAUAUGAGUGUAGUACAGAGCAAAUGCUAAUUUUUCCAUGCUCAAAUAGAGGUAAAAAUUGUUUUUCAGAAAUGCUGAGCACCUCGAACCAUCUGAUUUUAAGUGUGUGGAAAGUUUGGGAUAAAAUGUAGUGUCUCCAAUCACAAUUAUAGCCAGGGGCAGGUUAGUUAGGUUGGGUGUGCUGGUUUCCUGCCCGAGAAAGGCAUAGCACAAAUUAUUUCUUUGAAGUCUGUAGUUUAUUAAAGAUUUAUCCAUAUUUUAUGCUCCUAACUCAAAUCACCAUGUAAAAAUGCUAUAAA
Long non-coding RNA from Aquila chrysaetos chrysaetos, 4116 nucleotides. RefSeq lists it as uncharacterized. The transcript is spliced from 5 exons. The record is from RefSeq and is a predicted model, not a curated record. NCBI's taxonomy places the organism in Eukaryota, Metazoa, Chordata, Aves, Accipitriformes, Accipitridae.